RNAcentral lists this ribosomal RNA (428 nucleotides) under uncultured bacterium. RNAcentral describes it as "bacterial SSU rRNA". It matches the Rfam family "Bacterial small subunit ribosomal RNA", at positions 408 to 850 of the family's 1533-position model. The record is from RNAcentral.
AUGACGCUUUUCGGAGUGUAAACCACUGUUCGUGGGGACGAAGCACUGACGGUACCCACGGAGGAAGGCCCGGCUAACUACGUGCCAGCAGCCGCGGUAAUACGUAGGGGCCAAGCGUUGUCCGGAGUUACUGGGCGUAAAGGGCAUGCAGGCGGCUCAUUACGCAUGGCGUGAAAGCCCCCGGCUUAACCGGGGAGGGUCGUCGUGAACGGGUGAGCUUGAGGAUAUCAGGGGCUGGUGGAAUUCCCGGUGUAGUGGUGAAAUGCGUAGAGAUCGGGAGGAACACCCGUGGCGAAGGCGGCCAGCUGGGCGAGCCCUGACACUGAGACGCGAAGGCGUGGAGAGCGAACGGGAUUAGAUACCCCGGUAGUCCACGCAGUAAACGAUGCCGACUAGGCGUGGGGGGACUUGACCCCUUCCGUGCCGAA